AUUGAACGCUGGCGGCAUGCCUAACACAUGCAAGUCGAGCGGAUGAAGGGAGCUUUCGCCUGGAUUCCGCUGCGGACGGGCGAGUAAUGCCUACGAAUCUGCCUGGCCGAGGGGGAUAACGUCCGGAAACGGGCGCUAAUCUCGCAUACGUCCAGAUGUAGAAAGUGGGGGAUCUUCGGACCACACGCUAUCUGAUGAGCCUGGGCCGCAUUAGCUAGUUGGUAAGGUAAAGGCUUACCAAGGCGACGAUCCGUAGCUGACCUGAGAGGGUGAUCGGCCACACUGGAACUGAGACACGGUCCAGACGCCUACGGGAGGCAGCAGUAGGGAAUCUUCCGCAAUGGGCGAAAGCCUGACGGAGCAACGCCGCGUGAGUGAUGAAGGUCUUCGGAUCGUAAAACUCUGUUAUUAGGGAAGAACAAAUGUGUAAGUAACUAUGCACGUCUUGACGGUACCUAAUCAGAAAGCCACGGCUAACUACGUG
RNAcentral lists this ribosomal RNA (484 nucleotides) under uncultured bacterium. RNAcentral describes it as "partial 16S ribosomal RNA". It matches the Rfam family "Bacterial small subunit ribosomal RNA", at positions 30 to 507 of the family's 1533-position model. The record is from RNAcentral.